Molecule: ribosomal RNA, 1239 nt
Filed under: Triticum aestivum (bread wheat)
Lineage: Eukaryota; Viridiplantae; Streptophyta; Magnoliopsida; Poales; Poaceae
Description: partial small subunit ribosomal RNA
Source: RNAcentral
AUGGGCUACGCCCGCAAAGUGUUCGACGGAAUCCCCCACCUGGACCUCUUCAUGCACAACGUCAUGGUCCGCGGCUACGCACACGGCGGCGCGCCGGCCGCGGCCUUCGUUUUGUACCGACGCAUCGGGGCGGCGAGCCUGAGGCCCGACGCCUUCACGUUCUGCUACCUCCUCCGGGCCAGCGCUGGCUUGCCGGGUUCCUGCGCCGGGUACCAGGUCCACGGCGUCGUCCUGAAGCUGGGCUUCUUGAGUGACGCGUUCGUGAGGAAUGCGGUCAUCAACAUGCACGCCAAGUGCGGGGAUUUGCAGGUGGCCGGCGCGCUUCUUGAUGAGGCCGGCGAGGGGGAUGUCGUGGCGUGGUCGGCUGUCAUAGCGGGGCAUGCCGCUAGAGGUGACUUGGGCAUUGCACGCCAACUGUUUGAUGAUUGUCGGCACAAAGACUUGGUGUGUUGGAAUGUGAUGGUGGCAGCGUAUGCUAAGCAUGGGGAGAUGGAGAAGGCGAGGGAGCUGAUUGACCGUGCGCCAGAGACAGAUGUGGUUUCGUGGAACACGAUUAUCACUGGGUACGCCGCGAAGGGGAUGCUGAAGGAAGCACUGGAUGUGCUUGAUGAAAUGAAGUGUGCUGGCUGGAUGCCUGAUGAGGCCACUAUUGUUAGCUUGCUUUCCUGUUGUGCGAACUUAGGGUCGCUUGACACAGGGAGGAUGAUACAUUCAUUACACUUGGAAGGUAGACCAUGUACAAGUAUUGUUCUUGGAAAUGCAUUGGUAUCAAUGUAUGCAAAGUGCGGAGAUCUGCAGGCUGCAUUGGAAGUCUUUAGCAGGACGAAGGAGAGGGAUGUUUGGACAUGGAACUCGAUCAUCGGCGGGCUGGCCUUCCAUGGGCAAGCAGAACAGUCCAUCCACUUCUUCAAUAAAAUGCUUCAAGAAGGAAUGUGCCCAAAUGCUAUUUCUUUCCUCUGUGUUCUCGGUGCAUGCAGUCAUGCCGGAUUAGUUGAAGAUGGUCAGAGAUAUUUCUCUUUGAUGAAAGACAGGUACAAGAUCGAGCAAAAUGCAAAGCACUACAGUUGCAUAGUGGAUAUGCUUGGCCGUGCAGGCUUACUGGAUGAAGCAUUUGCAAUUCUGAGCAGCAUGAGGUGUGAACCUAGUGCAGUCAUAUGGAGGACUCUGCUUGGUGCCUGCAAGACCACGGGAAUGCAGCCUUGGCAAACUUGCCAGGGAGAGGCUUCUAAAAAUGAAUGA